CUUAUCUUUUUCUCAUUCUACUUCUCCUUGGAUACCUUUUCGCUCUCUUCCUCUUCAAAUUCUUAUUCCUCUUCAUAAUCUACCGAUUAAAUCCGCCGUGAUGUCCAUAUCUCCGACUUCUCGUCCUCCCUCAAUCCCACCACCUGUUAUCUCACCUCUCCAGCUUCCUCUAACCUCGAUCUCGUUUCCCAAAUACAGAUAUAUCAGAUCUACCCUAUCAUUCAAUAAUUGGGAUGGAUAAGAAGCCCUCCGUUGUUUCAAGGCAGUGGUAGAGAUUCUGGUAAUGGUGGAUGGGAUAACGAUGAUUCGUUCAGAUCUUCAUCUACAGAUAUGAGGCGUGGUCGUGGUGCUCCGGCGAAGUCGGAAUCGUCGGAGGAUAUAUAUUCUCGGUCUCAUAUGCGGUAACAUCGCUCGCUUCAUGAAGCAUUGGAAGAAAGAGGAAAGCUAUGCAGGAAGAAAGUCUUUGUUUUUGGAUGUACAUAACGUAAGCUAUUUCUCUAAUCUUUUUUCUUGUUUUGAUUAUUGGCAGCCACUUUCUUCUUAUCAUUGGACUUAAUACAACUGUGAAGCUAUACUCUAACACUAAUUAAUUCGAGACUUAGCCAAGAGCUUUGCCAAUCAAAGCUACUGGAAUCAAUGGAGAAAGAGUCAUAUUUCUUACCGGCGCAAUGUAUGAUGCCUUGUCUCAGAGUUAGUGGUGUUGUUAUAGUCACUGAAGUAUGCCACAAGGAUAAAGAAGUGCUCUGAUGAAAGACCUCAAGCCAUGGCACUUGUGUUGUAAUUCUGAUUAUGAAGAUUUUUGAAUUAGGCUUGGAAAAUUAUGCCGGAGUUCAAGUAAGAAGUUGCGGCCAUGUCUGGGCUCGGGCUUGUUGCAGGUGUUAUAAAAGUUGUUAAGGUUCUCUAAUGGCUCUUUCACUACGAGCUUCAUCACAACUAUAAGGUUUGAAUCUCUUUAACCAUGUAAAGAGAUUAGAGACUGUGAUAUAUGAAUGAUUCUCUUUUUUUUUUCCUCUAGAUGUCUCUCUAAGUUUGUUAUCUUUUUUAAGUUUGAUGCAACAUUGAUUUUAAGAUAAGGACUAUAGAGGGAUUAUGCACGGGAAUGCUAACGGCAAGGCAAAACACAUAGAGGAGACAAGAUUGAAGUUUGUCUUUAUAAUGUUAGCUUUAUUUUGUUUAAAACUUGGUGUGAUGUUAUGUAAAAAUGGAUAAUGUAACAAUAUUGUUAUGUAUGUUGAUGAUUUAUGAAAUAUAAAAAUUAUUA
Long non-coding RNA from Arabidopsis lyrata subsp. lyrata, 1261 nucleotides. RefSeq lists it as uncharacterized. NCBI's taxonomy places the organism in Eukaryota, Viridiplantae, Streptophyta, Magnoliopsida, Brassicales, Brassicaceae. The transcript has 5 exons. The record is from RefSeq and is a predicted model, not a curated record.